GGGAAUUGGGAAGAAAAUAAACUACAAAUUGGUGGUUGGCAGAAGGCUUUUGAAGAAGCAGAAUUGUUACACAUGUAUACAGUCGGCAAUUGAAUUGGACAGCAGCUUCAAGGAUAAAUUGGAGUCAAACACUACGGCAAAUAUGAAGAUGGCAACCGCAAGAAAGACACGGAUUAUUGGAUUAUAAUUGAAGUUAUUCACGUUCCAUAAAUUCUUG
RNAcentral lists this long non-coding RNA (217 nucleotides) under Olea europaea (common olive). Its description in RNAcentral is "long non-coding RNA (OEUR_LNC012896)". The record is from RNAcentral. Lineage: Eukaryota; Viridiplantae; Streptophyta; Magnoliopsida; Lamiales; Oleaceae.